RNAcentral lists this ribosomal RNA (792 nucleotides) under uncultured fungus. Its description in RNAcentral is "SSU rRNA". It matches the Rfam family "Eukaryotic small subunit ribosomal RNA", at positions 564 to 1358 of the family's 1831-position model. Lineage: Eukaryota; Fungi. The record is from RNAcentral.
GUGCCAGCAGCCGCGGUAAUUCCAUGUCUCCAAUAGCGUAUAUUAAAGUUGUUGUGGUUAAAAAGCUCGUAGUUGAACCUUGGGCCUGGCUGGCCGGUCCGCCUCACCGCGUGCACUGGUCCGGCCGGGCCUUUCCCUCUGUGGAACCCCAUACCCUUCACUGGGCGUGGCGGGGAAACAGGACAUUUACUUUGAAAAAAUUAGAGUGCUCCAGGCAGGCCUAUGCUCGAAUACAUUAGCAUGGAAUAAUAAAAUAGGACGCGCGGUUCUAUUUUGUUGGUUUAUAGGACCGCCGUAAUGAUUAAUAGGGACAGUCGGGGGCAUCAGUAUUCAACUGUCAGAGGUGAAAUUCUUGGAUCAGUUGAAGACUAACUACUGCGAAAGCAUUUGCCAAGGAUGUUUUCAUUAAUCAGGAACGAAAGUUAGGGGAUCGAAGACGAUCAGAUACCGUCGUAGUCUUAACCAUAAACUAUGCCGACUAGGGAUCGGACGGUGUUAUUCAUGACCCGUUCGGCACCUUACGAGAAAUCAAAGUGCUUGGGCUCCAGGGGGAGUAUGGUCGCAAGGCUGAAACUUUAAAGAAUUUGACGGAAGGGCACCACCAGGGUGGAGCCUGCGGCUUAAUUUGACUCAACACGGGGAAACUCACCAGGUCCAGACACAAUAAGGAUUGACAGAUUGAGAGCCCUUUCUUGAUUUUGUGGGUGGUGAUGCAUAGGCCGUUCUUAGUGGGUGGGUGACUUGUCUGCUUAAAUGACGAAUAACGAACGGAGACCUAAACCUGCUUAAUAG